UGUCUUCAGAUGAUCCUGCAUGCUGUCGCCACACCGACCACCAGAAAAACUCCUUCUGGGCUGUUGAGCAUUUCUGAUCCGUCUCUAGUGAACCCAGUUCUGGAGUCCGACGGAUCUCUGAGCCGAGCCAAGAUUUUACUCCAAAAGAGGAAGAGGAGACGAUCUUCACUGCUGGGAUCUUCGUCUGAAAUCAUCGGCUGCAGUUUCUGAUUUUCUCGGAACGUUUUCAGCCGUCAGUGAUGAAAAUCAACAUCCUGGGGACCAAAGUCCAUGUGGUCCUGGUGUUUCUGGGGACGCUGUGUGUCCUGCUGCUGUUUGGAUGCAUUGGGGUAAUCUCUUGGGG
Molecule: long non-coding RNA, 343 nt
Organism: Gambusia affinis (western mosquitofish)
Lineage: Eukaryota; Metazoa; Chordata; Actinopteri; Cyprinodontiformes; Poeciliidae
Exons: 3
Source: RefSeq, a predicted model, not a curated record